AGCGAACGCUGGCGGCAUGCUUAACACAUGCAAGUCGCACGGGCAGCAAUGUCAGUGGCGGACGGGUGAGUAACGCGUAGGUAUCUAUCCUUGGGUGGGGGACAACUGUGGGAAACUACAGCUAAUACCGCAUGAUGACCGAGGUCUAAAGGCGCAAGUCGCCUGGGGCGGAGCCUGCGUACGAUUAGCUUGUUGGUGGGGUAAAGGCCUACCAAGGCGACGANCGUUAGCUGGUCUGAGAGGAUGAUCAGCCACAUUGGGACUGAGACACGGCCCAAACUCCUAC
Molecule: ribosomal RNA, 286 nt
Filed under: uncultured bacterium
Lineage: Bacteria
Description: partial 16S ribosomal RNA
Rfam family: Bacterial small subunit ribosomal RNA
Source: RNAcentral